UACGGAGGGUGCGAGCGUUGUCCGGAAUCACUGGGCGUAAAGGGCGCGUAGGCGGCUCGGUAAGUAGGGGGUGAAAUCCUGCGGCUUAACCGCAGGGCUGCCUUCUAAACUGUCGAGCCCGAGCACGGUAGAGGCAGAUGGAAUUCCCGGUGUAGCGGUGGAAUGCGUAGAGAUCGGGAAGAACAUCAGUGGCGAAGGCGGUCUGCUGGGCCGUUGCUGACGCUGAGGCGCGACAGCGUGGGGAGCAAACAGG
RNAcentral lists this ribosomal RNA (253 nucleotides) under uncultured bacterium. RNAcentral describes it as "partial 16S ribosomal RNA". It matches the Rfam family "Bacterial small subunit ribosomal RNA", at positions 524 to 776 of the family's 1533-position model. The record is from RNAcentral.